Molecule: long non-coding RNA, 349 nt
Filed under: Phaseolus vulgaris (common bean)
Lineage: Eukaryota; Viridiplantae; Streptophyta; Magnoliopsida; Fabales; Fabaceae
Description: long non-coding RNA (PVUL_LNC001361)
Source: RNAcentral
GGAUUUGUAAGCAAGCAAAGUACUUUCUGCAGCAUCUUUCCUCUCUGUCCCAGUCUUAAACUCAGCAAGGUACCUGUGGUAAUCACCCUUCAUUUUGAGGUAAAAGACUUUACUUUCGGGAGAUGCAGCAGAAGGGAUGAGGUUGGACUCGAGGAGGUUCAAAAUCCCAUCACAGAUCUUGCUGAGCUCGGUCUCAAUCUUUCCCCUGUACUCCUUUAUAAUAGCAACGUGGUCCUCAUUGCCUCUGCUCUCCUCCUUCUGCUCGAUGGAGGAUAUGAUCCUCCACGAAGCCCUCCUCGCCCCAAUCACGUUCUUGUAUGCCACAGAGAGAAGAUUCCUCUCCUCCACA